This 265-nucleotide ribosomal RNA is filed under the name uncultured bacterium. Its description in RNAcentral is "partial 16S ribosomal RNA". It matches the Rfam family "Bacterial small subunit ribosomal RNA", at positions 793 to 1055 of the family's 1533-position model. The record is from RNAcentral.
GUCCACGCCGUAAACGAUGAUAACUAGCUGUCCGGGCACUUGGUGCUUGGGUGGCGCAGCUAACGCAUUAAGUUAUCCGCCUGGGGAGUACGGUCGCAAGAUUAAAAACUCAAAGGAAUUGACGGGGGGCCUGCACAAGCGGUGGAGCAUGUGGUUUAAUUCGAAGCAACGCGCAGAACCUUACCAGCGUUUGACAUCCCGCGCUAACCCGAGAGAUUGGGUGUUCCCUUCGGGGACGCGGUGACAGGUGCUGCAUGGCUGUCGU